Molecule: ribosomal RNA, 386 nt
Filed under: uncultured bacterium
Lineage: Bacteria
Description: bacterial SSU rRNA
Rfam family: Bacterial small subunit ribosomal RNA
Source: RNAcentral
AAUCUGCCCUCAGGAGGGGGACAACAGCUGGAGACGGCUGCUAAUACCCCAUAUGCCGCGAGGUGAAAUGAAUUUCGCCUGAGGAUGAGCUCGCGUCUGAUUAGCUAGUUGGUGUAGGUAAUGGCUCACCAAGGCAUCGAUCAGUAGCUGGUCUGAGAGGAUGAUCAGCCACACUGGGACUGAGACACGGCCCAGACUCCUACGGGAGGCAGCAGUGGGGAAUUUUCCGCAAUGGGCGAAAGCCUGACGGAGCAACGCCGCGUGAGGGAUGAAGGCCUCUGGGCUGUAAACCUCUUUUAUCAAGGAAGAAGAUCUGACGGUACUUGAUGAAUAAGCCACGGCUAAUUCCGUGCCAGCAGCCGCGGUAAUACGGGAGUGGCAAGCGU